AUAGUGGCCGAUCGGCGCAAGCCUGAUCCAGCCAUGACGCGCGAGUGAAGAAGGCCUUCGGGUUGUAACGCUCCUUCGGACGGAAAGAAAACGCGCAGUCUAAUACCCUGCGUGGCUGACGGUACCGUCAUAAGAAACACCGGCUAGCUACGUGCCAGCAGCCGUGGUAAUACGUAGGGUGUGAGCGUUAAUCGGAAUUACUGGGCGUAAAGCGUGCGCAGGCGGUUGAUUAAGACAGGCGUGAAAUCCCCGGGCUUAACGUGGGAACUGCGCUUGUGACUGGUCAGCUAGAGUACGGCAGAGGGGGGUGGAAUUCCACGUGUAGCAGUGAAAUGCGUAGAGAUGUGGAGGAACACCGAUGGCGAAGGCAGCCCCCUGGGCCGAUAAUGACGCUCAUGCACGAAAGCGUGGGUAGCAAACAGG
Molecule: ribosomal RNA, 423 nt
Filed under: uncultured bacterium
Lineage: Bacteria
Description: partial 16S ribosomal RNA
Rfam family: Bacterial small subunit ribosomal RNA
Source: RNAcentral